This 253-nucleotide ribosomal RNA is filed under the name uncultured bacterium. RNAcentral describes it as "partial 16S ribosomal RNA". It matches the Rfam family "Bacterial small subunit ribosomal RNA", at positions 524 to 776 of the family's 1533-position model. The record is from RNAcentral.
UACGAAGGGUGCAAGCGUUAAUCGGAAUUACUGGGCGUAAAGCGUGCGUAGGCGGUUGGCUAAGUCCGAUGUGAAAGCCCUGGGCUCAACCUGGGAAUGGCAUUUGAAACUGGCUGGCUAGAGUGUGAUAGAGGAUGGCGGAAUUCCCGGUGUAGCGGUGAAAUGCGUAGAGAUCGGGAGGAACAUCCGUGGCGAAGGCGGCCAUCUGGAUCAACACUGACGCUGAGGCACGAAAGCGUGGGGAGCAAACAGG